Molecule: non-coding RNA, 115 nt
Organism: Triticum aestivum (bread wheat)
Lineage: Eukaryota; Viridiplantae; Streptophyta; Magnoliopsida; Poales; Poaceae
Source: Rfam
UCACUACUCCCUCCGUUCCGAAUUACUUGUCGCGGGUAUGGAUGUAUCUAGAUGUAUUUUAGUUCUAGAUACAUCCAUUUCUACAAUGAGUAAUUUGGAACAGAGGGAGUACAUA